GGGCACGUAGCGCAGCCUGGUAGCGCACCGUCAUGGGGUGUCGGGGGUCGGAGGUUCAAAUCCUCUCGUGCCGACCA
This 77-nucleotide transfer RNA is filed under the name Escherichia sp. S69_ASV_4. RNAcentral's name for it is "tRNA-Pro". It matches the Rfam family "tRNA". Rfam says of the family: Transfer RNA (tRNA) molecules are approximately 80 nucleotides in length. Their secondary structure includes four short double-helical elements and three loops (D, anti-codon, and T loops). Lineage: Bacteria; Pseudomonadati; Pseudomonadota; Gammaproteobacteria; Enterobacterales; Enterobacteriaceae. The record is from RNAcentral.